GCCGCUGUGGUGGAAUAGGCAGACACAAGGGACUUAAAAUCCCUCGGAGUAACAUCCGUACCGGUUCAAGUCCGGUCAGCGGCACCA
This 87-nucleotide transfer RNA is filed under the name Ruminococcus flavefaciens. RNAcentral's name for it is "tRNA-Leu". It matches the Rfam family "tRNA". Rfam says of the family: Transfer RNA (tRNA) molecules are approximately 80 nucleotides in length. Their secondary structure includes four short double-helical elements and three loops (D, anti-codon, and T loops). The record is from RNAcentral. Lineage: Bacteria; Bacillati; Bacillota; Clostridia; Eubacteriales; Oscillospiraceae. RNAcentral also lists the same sequence under 7 other names.